Long non-coding RNA from Mus musculus (house mouse), 39616 nucleotides. RefSeq annotates it as predicted gene, 46548. Lineage: Eukaryota; Metazoa; Chordata; Mammalia; Rodentia; Muridae. The record is from RefSeq and is a predicted model, not a curated record. The transcript has 2 exons.
UUGAAGAUAGUCCUUGCUCCAUUUUAGGUACUAUUAUAUUUUUAAUUAAAUAUCUACCUAUAUACUGUGUUAGAAUGCAGACCCACUCUUAUCUGCAUAUCUUAAGGCCCUAGGAUGCAUUUAACACCUACAAGAGACUUAGUAAAUGAGUGUUUGAGUGUUCGUUUGAGGCCAUUCUUGAUGCUGUCCUCAGCUAGGGAGGACAUGAGCUUAGCAUUUGUUCCAGCUGGUUGUAUGAGUCAAUCUUUGACCUGCGAGAUGGAGGCAUUUGAAGAUGCACAGGGUAUUUUUUCCCUUUUAUCUGUGAUUCUUAUCUAUAAGACUUAGCUCCAAAUGAAAAUGGAACCAACAUUUGAUUCAGUUUCUGGGACAAAAGCUAGACAGGAUGUUUCUGCCUCCAGUUCUAGUGAAGGCUAUAUUCAAAUUUACAUUUUUCAUUAACACAUUGCUUGUGUGUGUGUGCUAUCUUAUCUCAUAUUUUUAAGUACCUAACCCCCUCCUCUCCUUUCAUUUAUUUCCCCCUUCUUUUUCCUCUUGUCUAUUCCUCUCUUCUCCUGCCCUCUCCUUUCCUUUCUCUUCUCAAACUAGUCAUUAACUUUCAGAAAUGUAUCUAUGUACUAUCUUCUCUUCGAUGAAAUGGAAUUAUUUUGCCAAAAGUUGUAUAGAGUUGGUGUGAUGCUGAGAGAUACACCCUUGAGCAUAGAGCGCCCUAUCAGCUUCAAAUCUUGCUUUCCUUGCCGUGCCGUCUGAAUAAUUAGGGCCACUUUAAGUUCUUUCCUUUGAGUUUGCAACAUGAGUUCUCUUUUUAAAAUGCAAUAUAUAUAACGUUAGCUGUAUCAUAAUAUCAGAAGAGAGUAGAAUAUGCAGGACCUUGGGAGUUAUCCCAGGGAUCUGUCUAUAAUUCUUGUAAUAAAAGAUUAUCUGGUUCAAUUUGAACUCUGAAGAAAGCAAUCCCUCCUCUUCCACAUCAGGGCAAGGCUUUGGUACAUACCGUGAUUUUUGGUUGAUAUCCUGAGUAUCCAGAUGGAGUCACAGUUACAUUAGUCAACCUCCCAAACUCCUCGUCCUUUCCCACAGUUCUCUGCCUGAAAUACCUAACGUGACUACAGAAUCCCAUGCAUUUCAGAGAUUACCUUGACUUUGUGGAGGGUAGAUCUAGAGCAUGCAUAAACAACUUACUCUGUGAGUUGUAGAAAACAGUUCAGCGUCUUCUGUGUUCUUCCUCUUCCACCUCAGCUUUUUAGAGUUUUUUAUUCUCUUUGCAAAAGAUCUCUGCUAAAUUCUUACCAUCUAACAGUUGGUGAACUAACACCUUCAACAUCUCUCAAGUGUUUAUUUGAAACGAGGAAACAUUGGUAACCCUUCAGACUGUCCGGUCCACUGUCUAACAAGUGCCUCUGGUGAGCUGUAUUUAGGGUUGAAAGGUUUAGUAGCAUUUGGGUGUGCUUUAAGAUGCCUACUAGUGACGUAAAUAAUCCAGUAACAUCAGGAUCACAGGAGGUGCUGCCGUACAGCCCCGGGGGAGAAUGGCUAUGCGCAAAUUACCGAGUGACCUCUCUAACUUCAUCACUCAUUUUGUCACUCAGGAAACUCUCUAGGUAGCCAUCUGUCUUUUCCUGGAUCUUUUCUUAAAACUGUAUGCUCAGCACUCUCAACAUCCCAGCCCCCUUCUCCUGAGGCAGAGCAGAGAAAGAUAUCUUUAACCAUUAAGAUUCUUCCAAUGACUUUGAAAUCUCCCAAUACUUCCUGCCCCUUCUCUUUUAAAAAUAAAACACUAACCUAUAAAUCAGUCUAUGAGUUUACCAGUUUCCAAUAACACAUUACACCAUUUUACACACACACACACACACACACAUUUAAAUUCUUGAAUUUAACUAGACUACAUUUCAUUUAUUUGUGUUGAACUUACAUAUUCUUUCAAAAAAACAUCUCUGCUUUCUAUUUUAUUCUUUAGAGAUGAAAAAUACACUUUUAAAAUCUCUCUUUCACAUACUUGUCAUUUAGGUAUUGGAGGAACAUCUUUAUGUCCUGUCUUACAAACCUUGUGUCUGUGGGAUGGUCUAAUUUCUCUCACAGUUUAUAAAUUUUAAGUGAAGUUUAUAGGAUCUAGCUUAUUGCUCUACAAAACACUGAUGGGCACUGAGCACAAAGUAACCCAACAACCAUGAACAGGCCGUAGGGGAAGGCAGAGGGUGACAACAGAAAAUAUCCCACCCUAAAGAGGGGGCAUUUGUAAUGUAUCGUCAGACUUAUCAAGAUGGAAAACAAUCCUAUUACUCAAUGAACUGUCAUGUAUCAGGUAUCGGGUUAGCUAUUUCUAGACAUUAUCAAACUCUGUGUGUAGAUGUAUGUUACUUCUUUAUGAUCCGUUCCCUUAAGGUAUUUUAUGUUUUUUGGUUUUUUUUUUUAACGUAUUCAAGAAAUUCCUCUAGGACUUCUUUAAGCAAUAAAAUUCUGGAAGUUUGUGCCUCAGAGGCUGCAAGUAUCCACAGGUACUGAAGUUCCUAAACACUAGAACUGAUAACUUGAGGGUGAGCAUCGAGCUGAUGUGGGAGACAAUGCUAUGGCUGAAGCUGUCACAGGAUGACAAGUGCAAAUCUGCAUAGAUGCUAACAUCACAACCUGCAGAACUCAUAAAGGUUUACACUUUCCUUGCCGUUAUAGCUUAUAAGACUUUAGAAAUAACAGAAGUAAAGAAAUGCCUUUAAGGUUAUGACAUGGUGUUGUGCCAUUUUUAUUAGCCAUAUAUUAUUACAUAAUAUGUAUUAGUGUGUAAUAUUUUAUUAGAUUCAAAUAUUCAAACAUAAACUUAACAUGAAAAUUUGCUCCAUUGGAAAAGAACACAUAGGGAUGACUAAUAAAAUAUAGUAUAUUAUCAAUAUAUUAAUUUUCCAACUGUAUGCAUUAUAUUUAAAAUGUAUAGUUCUUCUAAAAGUUUAACAAUGUUAUAGUCAAAGACAAUCAUAAAGAAGCUAAAAUCAUCAAUCAUCAUACUACUUCCAGAUAAAUCAUAUUUUGGUAUACAUUUUUCCAUUUAAAAAAUUAAAUACAAUUAUAAAUAUGAAUCUAAUUGUGUAUUCUUUUUUCUCACAUCCUGUAUCUUCAUGUGCUUAUUUUUUACUGUUAAACAUUUAAAAUUUUUAUUUGUUCAAUUUUUGAGUGUUCCCCUUGUGUAUGCAAUCAAUGUUAGUCAUUUUCACCCUCUCUCAUCCCCUCCCUACGUCAUUGAAGAUAUUUCCCUCCUCCUUUUAUUUAUUUAUUUAUUUUUAUUUAAAUAUUUUUAUUACAUAUUUUCCUCAAUUACAUUUCCAAUGCUAUCCCAAAAGUCCCCCAUACCCUCCCCCCCACUCCUCUACCCACCCACUCCCACUUUUUGGCCCUGGCGUUCCCCUGUACUGGGGCAUAUAAAGUCUGCAUGUCCAGUGGGCCUCUCUUUCCAGUGAUGGCCGACUAGGUCAUCUUUUGAUACAUAUGCAACUAGAGUCAAGAGCUCCGGGGUACUGGCUAGUUCAUAAUCUUGUUGCGCCUACAGGGUUGCAGAUCUCUUUAGCUCUUUGGUUACUUUCUCUAGCUCCUCCAUUGGGGGCCCUGUGAUCCAUCCAAUAGCUGACUGUGUCCCUCCUCCCUUUAUAUCUUACUUUACCUAAGUGUAAUACUGAGUGCAAUUACUGUGGCAUGCAUGAAAAUGGAUGGGAAUAAUGUUCCUUGCAUGUAAUGAAUGGGAGGUCGUUUACUAGAACAUGGGCAACUUUUCAAUAGCUACAUUACUGAAGAAAAUAGUUGUUUCCUCAGAAGCCAUCAGCUUGCCAAUGUUCUCUCAGGUAGGGAUGGGGCCUCACGAGCCUCUCCCCCAUGCAUGAUGACUGCCCCACCCUCUAUGGUAAUUGCAGAUGCAAUGACAUCAUGAAUGCCAUGGCCAUUGGUCUAAUUUUGUUUUGGGGGCUUUGUUUCCUUUUGUUUCCUCAGCAGAGCCUUCAUUUCCUUUGGUUCAUGAAUUUUUUCCAACUUCUCCUCCCACAGUAUUCCUGGAGCCUGUGUAUGUGUGAUAUAGACGUACAGCUUAGGGUUGAACACUCCACAGUCAAUCAUUAGCACUUUGUCUAGUAAGGGGUUUUUGCAAUAAAUGUCAUAUACAGCAAUAAGAAGAGUCUCCGAUGAAGGCUAAAACCAAUACUAAUCUACAAAUAUGGGUGUGAAUAUUUUGAAGGCAGUUUAAUAAUAUGCAGAGUCAGCAAAAUAGAAAUAGUAGGGUCUCCUCUUGGGUCUAUGAACUCUCUAAUCAUGGGAUCACGAUAAGGUUUCUAGUACCAUGGGAUCCCUCCUAUGGUAUAGCCCUCAAAUCCAGUCAGAAAUUCAUUGGUUAUGUCCAUGAUAAUUAUGCCACUAUUACUCUUGUGAGUACACCUUACUUAAGAAAUUGAUAGGUUGGUAUUGCAAUUUACAAAGUUCACAGAUGGGUAAAAAUAUUGAUGGCUUUUCUCCCAGUAGUCUUUAUUUUACUGUUAAUUAUUGCAUGAUGUACAUGCAUAUUCAUGUACCAUAUAUGCAUAUAUAUUUAUACAUUUUUAACUUUUCUUUCUAAUUAUGCUUGUAUAUAAUAUUGACCAUUUGUAUAAUUUUCUUAUGUUGUAAUUCCUUAGAUUGGGACUGAUGGUUAAAGCUGUUGACAUGUUAUGCUUAGCUUUGAAGUGGGUAGUGUGUUUGGUUUGUCUUUAAUUAAACUUUUAUUUGCCACAUGGUUCUCAAGUGGAAUGUAAAGGAGGGAACCAUGGAAGUGAGGAGGCAAUGGGGCCGGCUCACCUUCAAGCAGGGUCUGCUCUACUGUACUGCCUGGGCCAGGCACAGGGAGGACUUUCUGGAGUGCUGCUGCCUGAGGACAGGGCAAGGUUAGUUCUUUAGAGCGCUGAAGCCAGUGAGGGGAGAUGCCAGCUGUGCACAAUCCCUGAACAUCUGCGUGGCCCCCCACAGUUGCCCCCACCAGGAACAUCCCCAUGUUCUCUAGUGGUAAUAUGAGCCACGGAUAUUAACAUGCCCCUAACACUGCAUAGCCAUCGAUUCAAACAUGGCCCUCAGUGCACCUCAGGCUGGGGCCUCACCAUGGCUUCAGACGUCAGGACUGGCCACUCACAACCAGCUACUCCUCCUCUCCACUCUUGAGUCUCGAGUUCCAUCUCUUUUCAUAAUGCUAAAAGCUGCUCCUCUUCUCUUUCUCUCCCAUCUGUCCAUAUAUACUUGCACAUUGUAGUGGCUUCUGCAUCAGGCUGGCCUCACAGGUGGCGGGCUCCUGGGUGACAUCCUCUGUCUAUGUUGCAUAUCAUGGUGGCAAGCGGGUGUCUUCGGCCUGUGCCAUGCGCACAGGUCUAUGGGUGGCAUGGCCGUCCUCAGUCUUCUUUCUUCGCUCAACAGUGGUAGGCAGCAGACUCUGUAUACCUGGAGGGAAGGUCUGUGUGCAACUUUGCCUACCCACACUGAGUGACUGUCUUCCUCCUCUCACACUGUGCUGCCUGGAUUUGAUUUGAUUUGAGGUGUCCUAGGCAUAAGACAGCUUUGCCCACAAAGCCAGGCACCAAGCUAGGAUGCACAAAGGACUGCCAUCAGCUCUGCCCCUGACUGAUGUAAGAACAACACCACCAGCAAGAUGGCUUAGUAUUUUUUUUUUUAACCAUGAAGUGAGGUUGAAUUUUAUCAGUCUUUUCAGCCUUCAUUGAGGUGACAAUGCAGUUUCUACCCUUGAUUCUAUUCAUGUUGCUGGGCUACUUAUUUGAACACAUUAAACCAUGGUGGUAUCCUUGGAAUUAAAACAUAGUCUGAUCUUUUCGGUUAGUUUUAAAAUAAAAUGUUAAGUAUUUUAUUGAGAAUCAUUCUUUUUGUUUGCAAUAGUUUUCCUAAGGCCAUGACAUUAUAUACACACACACACACAUAUAUAUGUGUAUGUGUGUAUAUAUAUAUGUGUGUGUGUGUGUGUGUGUGUGUGUGUCUAUGUGUGUAUAUAUAUACUUGUCUUCUCUGUCUUUAAAAAACAACAAACAAACAAACAAACAAACAAACAAAACAGUUCACUCAUUCCCAUGGACUUCUCCAUUAGAACUUCUUUCUGCUUAUGAAGUUAGUUCUGGAGUGUUGUGUUUUCAGUUCUAUUUGAGUCUGUUUAUUUUUACAGGCUCCAUUUAACUUUUAAAUUAUCUAUUGUUUGAUUGAAUAUAAGUUGUUUAAUCUCUGUGCACUUCUAUAAUCCUCUAGUUUUUUGUACAUAUUUUUAUUUAUAGUUCCAUUCUGCUAUGAGAUGCACGAUACAAUAAGAUUUGUACUUAAUAAAACUUCUUUUAUGACCUACACUGUGUGCUCUUUUAGAAAAAGUUAUUAGUGAUGGUAAAAGUGUAAUCAGGACAUAGAAUGGGUUGGAGCCACUGUGCUCUGUACCCUUCAUGUCAUAGUGACAAAAUAUCUGACAUAUGUAAGUUAGGGGAGCAGAUGUUUGCUCUGGCUCGUGAUUCAAGGACAUUCAAGUCCAUUACAAUGAAGAAGUGGAAGCGGUGUGGCGGGUUCAGAGUCAGCAGCAAUACAAAGUGACAGACCACAUUGCUGCAUCCAGGAAUAAGGCCAGAAGCCAGGCUGCAUUAUAACCUCGAAAGGCUGCCCUCUGUGAUCCACCUCAACCAGCGAGUUCUCGCCUUCUAAAGGUUCUACCGCUUCACAAAGCAAUACCGACAGCUGGGGACCACAUAACCGUUCAUACACAGGAGCCCAUGGGGGAUGCUUCAUAUUCAAAGCCUGACAUAUGUGUAAUAAGCCCACAUCUUCUAUAUUAUAAUUAGUUUUUUAUAUAUUUUUCUGUCUCUCCACAAGAGUCACCCAUUAUUAUCUCAGUGGCAUCGAGUCUCUUGAUUGUCAGUUCUGAAUGGCGCACUGUUUCACAACCCAGCGCAUAUCCAUUUACAGUCAACGUCAACCCAUUCGGCUGUGUAAGCUUCUCCGUCUCACACCUUAGGCCUGAAGCUGUCCUGUUAGAUACAAGUAUAGAUGCUCCUACUGGUUUCUGGAUUCUACUUGUUCGAGAUAUGAUUAUCUAACCCCUCACUUUUAGUGGGCGUAUGGCUUGGCCAGCAAGGUAAGUUUUACAGGCAGCAAGUGGUUGGUAUUAUUUUCUUCCAUAAGCCAGCCUGAAGCUUUUACUUCAGGAGCUGAGGCCACUGACAUUGUGCGCUGUUUUGGUGACAUUCGUGCUCAUCUCUGCUGUUUUGUUGAUUUCCUUCUGCUUGUUGGGAACACUCUGUGUUUGUUCCUUUCCCUUGUGUUCGUGUUAGACAUUUGAUUAUUGACUACAUCACUCUUGACGCCCCUGGUCCUCUUUUACAUACCUACGCUCCUCCCAGUGCAAUUUCUUCUUUCUUGAUGGACCUUGAAUUUCUCUCUCCUCAGUGUAGAAGAUUCCUUUAAGUAUUUUCUGGCAUGCUUGCUCAGGGGCCGUGAAUUCCAUUUACUUGAGCUUGUUUUGGAGUUGGAACUGCAUUCUCCUGUGUGGUAAACCAGAUUGACAGCCGUUGCCUUUGGGAGUCAGAAAUACUUUCAGACCAUCAGAGCUCCUGGGAAGAAGUCUGUUGCUCCAGUUGGCGUGCCAUGUAAGUGACUUGGUACUUCUUGUUUAUAAUUAUGAAUAUUAGUAUUUCGUUACUUCAUUAUAUCUUGUUUCCUUGCAUCUGCCAAUCUGACAAGUUGUGGAGAUGAAAUGUUUUUGGUCAUGAAUAUUUGGCAUUCUAAAUGCCCCUGAGCCAGGGUGUCUGUAUUGUUUCUCACUGUGGGAGUCACCUGUGCUUAUUUUCCUGACUGGGUUUUUGACAUUUCUAAUUGUACCGCUACCUUCAUCUGGUCACGCACAAGCUCUGCCUUUCACCAUUCCACACAGGGCUUGUGUUCUGCUCCUAUUUCUCACUUUCUUGGUAUCUGAACGUGGUAAGUCCCCAACCUUACCCUGAAGCCACACAUUUUUUUCCUUUACUUCAUCUUCUUUUUCAAAGGAGGCUUUCAAUGAAAUAUUUAUGAGCUACUGAACUUUUCAAUAUUUCUGAUUUUCUUCAAUUUCUAACAUACAUACUGCGUUCUUUUUCAUAUCCUAUGUUGGCUUCUUUAGUUCAUCAGGCUAUUUCCAUUUAUUAUUUUAAACUUUGUAGAUUAAUCUAUUUAUUAUUAAUUUAUUUGUUUACCUACUCUACAGUUGCAGCUUCCCCUCCCUCCUGUUCUCCCAGUCCCUCCUUCUUCCCUCCUCACACCCUGUGUCCUUCCCUUUCUCCCCAGAGAAGGGGAGAACUUCCAUGGAUAUCAACCUGCCUUGUCAUAUCAAGUUGUAGUAGGAGUUGCUGCAUCUUCUAUCUAGACUAGACAAGGCCAUCCAGUUAGGGGAAAGAGAACGAAAGGCAGGCAAUAGAGUCAGAGUCAGCCCUUGCUCCUCUUGUUAAAGGUCACAUCUGAGAACCAAGUUCCCCUACAUAUAUGUACCAGAUGUAGAUCAUUUUAAAAAUAAUCUUCUAGAUACUUUGUCAUUUUGUCCACUUAGUUAUGUUUUAAUUUAGUUACUGGAAAACUAGGAACUUUUGAAGGAAUCAUAUUCUUUCUCUCUCUCUCUCUCUCUCUCUCUCUCUCUCUCUCUCUCUCUCGCUGUCUCUCUCACACACACAAAUACACAUACAUAUACUCACACAUAUACACAAAUACACACACAUACACUCACACAUACCCAUAAAUAUACACACAUACACACACACACUCAGACAUACGCACACAUAUAUACUCACACAGACACACUUACACUCACACAUAUACACAAAUAUAUACAUACAUACACAUAUAGACACACAUACACACAUAUACUCGCACAUACAUACACUCACACACACAUAUACACAUAGAUAAAUAUACACACACAUAUACAUACAUACAUGCACAUAUAAACUCAAACAGAGACACAUACAGACAGAUACACAUAAACAUACAUAAAAACACAUACCUACAUACAUACAAACACACAAACACACGCACACCUUGUUUUUAUAUGCUGACAUUCCAUCUUUGGGGAUAGCUAUCUUGUACAAUUUUGUGUGAGAGUAUCCCUAGCGAGAGGCCAUCUUUUGAAUAUUUGAUGUUCAGUAUUGCUUAGAAAGGAGAAAAUAAACCCCAGUAAUAACAGCACAAAACAGAGCCUGAAAUUCAGUAAAAUAAAGGUUAAAGAUUGCUAACUCACAAAAAGAAUGGAAAUGUAUAAAAAUAACAUAGCAUAAACAAAGUUAAAAAUCACCAAGAUUGCAGUCAAAAAUAAUAAUAAAACUUAAAAUGUGAGAGAGAAAAUAAAAACAAGACCGGUGGAGGAAGAAUGAGAAAACAAGGAGUGCUAAAAAUCAAAUAAAAAUAAAACAGGAAAAUAAAGCCCAAUAAAAAGGAAAUGUUAUUUAAAAGGAAAAGUAGGUGAAGCACUUCCUAGAUGAUGUACUUGAACUUGAGAAGAUCCUCCCAGGCUCCUCUAGUGCUAGACUCUCCCAGGUGAUGAGCAGCAGGCUAUGACUGAGGCCUGCUGUAAUUCCUCUAAGUCCCACAAAGUUGACUCAUGCUCAAUGUAGACUGAUCCCUACCCUAGGUCUCCUAUUGGGAUGGUUAGGGGUAUGCUGUUCAUUGCUGUGUUAAUGUCUGAGAGAUCUGGGUCUUUCAUUUCUUCUCUCUCUCUCUCUCUCUCUCUUCCUCCUUUCCUCCCCCCCCUCUUCCUUUCUUUGCUUUAACACAAGAACUACAGCUAGCCAUGUGUGUUAAUAUGUAGGGUAAGCAGGCACUCACUCAUUACAGAGAGCCACAGUUCAUGCACCAGAGGGUGUGGCAAAUGUUUAUGGUAGAACAUAUCAUCCAAUGUCUGAGAAAUUGGGCGACCCAAAUAGACCUUUGAAAUUUUGGGUUGAGGAGUAUUAUGGGAAUGAAGUUAUAGGCUCAUCUUUGCCCCUGUACUCUCAGCCGUAACCAUGUGACUAGUUUUAUUCCUUACCUACUAGCACUGUUCGCUCUGUAGUCAGUGAUCUCUGUUGCUUACAGUUUUCAGCAUUUAUGUUGUUGUUGUUGAUUUUUCAAGACAGGGCUUCUCUGUAUAGCUCUGGCUGUCCUAGAACUCACUCUGUAGACCAGGUUGGCCUCGAACUCAGAAAUCCACCUGCCUCUGCCUCCCAAGUGCUGGGAUUAAAGGCGUGCACCACCACUGCCCGGCUCAAUUUUCAGCAUCUUGUGUCAGACUUCUCUACUUCAUGGCUGCAUGACUGAUUUUGACAGGCAGACAGUCAUGGCCAAACCUUAUGCUUUUCCUGUGCUUUCAGAACCUUAAAAGUAGUUCAGUCCCUGGUAACAGUCCCUCUUGAGAUGGCUCUCUAUGACACUCAAGGGUAAGUGACAGAAUGGAUUUCUUUUUUAAAUCGAGCGUGUGUGCGUGUAUGUGUGUGUGUGUGUGUGUGUGUGUGUGUGUGUGUGUUGGGUUAGGAAUUUUUUCAGACUAAAUCCUAUUUCUGUAUUUAUUACUUCUAAGAGCCAUAGUUUCUUCUGAAGCUAGAUCUGCCUGUAUGUUAUCAUCAGUGAGGCUGUCUGUAUUUCUGGUUCACCUUGCAGCCUAUAGCAUCUGUUCCUUGUCCAUCUUCCCAGAACACCUGAUUCUGAGAGGCUGAAUGGGAACUUGACACUUCCCUCUGAAUCGCCAUUCUGCUUCUCUAAGCCUUUUAGCUUUUAAUCACCACUUGCUGUCGUUGGCUCUUUCUUGUUCCCUCAUCUCCUCAUAAUAUAGCUUUUCCAUUGUUGACUUAAAAGCCCUCAGAGGAGACUCCUGUUCUGCCAUCUGACCUGCCACAUCCCCCAGAUACCUUAAUCUUAAUCUAGAUAUAGAAACACAAAUGAGCAAAACACGUAUACUCUAGAUACUUUCAAAAAGAAGCCUUUAAGGGACAUUGUCUUAACUUUGAUUUUAAUGAACAUUGACCUUUAAGGAGAAAAUCCUUAUAAUGCAACUAGAGAGUAAGAAGCAUGAAGGAAUGAAUGUUUAGGAAAAAAUAAUUAGCAAUAAGGAUAUAUAAAGUGACCUGUUGGAUAUGCACUAUUAUCCCUGGGAGAAAGCCUGUAUGUUUGAAAGAGAUAAAAACCACUCUUUUCACCAGCAAACAGCAGAUGCUGACAAGAAAUGAUAAAAUAACAGUGCAUUGUCUGCCACCGUGAAUUAUCCAGAACGUAGCUCUCCAUUAUUUCAAGGUUGAUUUUGCUUGUCAUUCAAAAUUGGAUAAUCUAUAGAUUGUUCCUUCAUUUGAUGACCUUAUGAAAAUUAUAAGGUUAUGAAUUAUAGUUGAGGAUGUUAUUCACAGUUGUUGAGAUUAAGUUUGCAUUUUAAAGGGAGCAUAGACCUGUAAUCUUAUUGAUUGAAGAUUUCAUGAGUUGAUCAGUAUCCACAGAUUAUGUCUAUAGCUUUUUCAUUAGUGCACUCUUCAAUUACCUUAGAGGAUUUCUCAGACCAAGGAAAUUGUUCAUACCUGCUUUGUCUUUGAACAUGUUAUGAGUAUCUGCAAAUAUUGGUAAAUUUCUAGAAAACAUGUUGAAUAUCUACAAUAUCAGAAAAUAGGCAUGCUAUAGAAAAGUCUUUUUCUUGAUUAAUUAGUCAUUAUGUGUAUCCCUAAGACAAACAUGGCCAUCUGCUCAGCAUCUCAGAAGUUGGGUUGGACCUGUAUGGUUUUCCCUUCAGCCUUCAGAGUUAUAGUUUUACAGCAGUUUAUCAUCACACUGUUGCAAAUUAUUAAAGAAGCAAGCAACUAAGCUCUAACUCAGAGGGCUCUCUUACUUCCUCCAUUACAUAAUAAAGGCACCCACACCCAAAUACCACAGUGUACCCUAAGUAUGAGAAAACACUUCACAUCAGAUGAUGUGGCUUGAAACACACACACACACACACACACACACACACACACACACACACACACACCCAGACACACACCUCCUUCUCUUUUGAGAAGUUUUAUAGGAAAGAAAUCAUGCAAAGAAAGUCUUCAAAGAAUAAUUGACUUGAACAGACUUUCUACGGGUCAGCAUUUUUUUCUUUUUUGCUCUGAAGUCAGAAUAAAUAAAACAAAGCAAAAUGAGUAAGUUCAGCCAAAAAAAAAAAAAAAAAAAGAGCAGCGAACAAGGAUGCUUCCAUCGUCCCGCACGGCAAGCAAGGAAGGAAAGGUCACCAUCUUGUGUUUACAGAUUUAUUUGUCUAUCUCACAGUUUGUGAUUCCAAAGUAUUUUAUCAGCAUUAAUUAGUUUUUCCCUUAAAAAAAUCUGGAAACAUUUGACUUAAGACAGUUAUGCCAACUUAAGUCUUCAAAUAAAUUGUGGGCACUUCGUGGUGUAUUUCUUGGAGGAUGGGGUAAAAGAAAAACAUGUCUACUUAUUUGACUUUCAUUUAAAACCUCACAAAUAAUCAGCUUUAAUUUUCCCAUUUCCCCCUGUUUUGAAAUGAAUAUAUGUUCUUCUCAGAAUGUGUAUGAAAUGUAAAAUAAGUAUCAGAAGAAAGAUAUUGUCCUUCUAAUCUUACACAUAGGCAUAACUAGUGGGUUCUUUUUUUUUCAUAUUCUGUGUAUUUGGUAAACUUUAAAUAUUUCUCCCCAAUUCUUUUUUAAUAUAUGUUGAACAUUUUCUUUGAAUUAUUCCACCAAAUAGAUCGAAGAUAAUAUAAUAGGCCUUCUUGUUUGGUUUAUUUAUGCGUUUGGGGUAGAACACAUAUAGAGGGCAAGCUGGCCCUAAUCUUGAGCUUCCUAUACAGCUAAGACUAUCCAUGACUUCUGACCUCCUUACCUCCACCUCUCAAAUGCUAGAAUUAGAGGAGUGUCUCACCAUUCCUGGUUUUUAUGUGUUUCUGGGGAUCAUAUCCAGCUCUAGGUGCUCCCUAAGCAAUUAUCCUACUUACAUCUAUUCAGUUCUAAUAAGUAUUCUGUUUAGUAAUUAAUUAAUUUUACAUUUAGUGUGUGUGUGUGUGUUUUCACAUGAUCUCAGAUGCUUAUGUUGUGGUCAGAGAACAACUUAUAGGUGUCAGUUGCCUUCUGCCAUGUGGGUUUGGGGCUGGAACUCAGGUAGUCAGGCAUGGUGGUAUAUGUCUUUAUCCACUGAGCCAUCUCACCAGUCCUCAUCUACUUAUUUUUAAUAAAGAAAAUAUCUGUCAAAUAAGAAUUCAUCCAAGACAAAUAGGCUUUUAUAAUUCCAGUUGCAUCUACUACAGACCACGACUUAAUAUAAUGAAGUAAAACUGAUUCCUCUAUUGCUCAAACUAUUUAUUUACUUACAAAAGCUAGACAAAGGAAAUUAUAUGUUGGAGAUUUGUUCUAAAUCUUUGAUUCAACUGGGAAUCUGCAUUCCAAACCUAAAGGUCCUCGUUCUUAAUUGGUUUUUGAUCAACCAAUAAAGAUGGCUGGGCACAGGUGGGACCUUUAAUGUCACAUGAGCUAGGACACAGGGGGAAGAAAAAGGAGGAUCACCAUGAAGUGGUGGGAGAUGGAUGGAUGCAGGAGCUACAGGAGAGGAAGCCAACCACCCAUAUGAGAAUUUAGGUAGGUGGCCACUUCCCCGAUUGGUCCUAGGGCACAGGGAAAGGUUUAAAUGUGUUUGAGGUAGGCAAGGCAUUUUAAAAUUAACUGGUGUGUGUGUGUGUGUGUGUGUGUGUGUGUGUGUGUGUGUGUGUGUUAGUGUGUCUUCCAUUCAUGAAUCCAAGCAGCUCCUGGAGGAGUGCACGAGUGCAAUCCUCAUGGAGCCAAAGUGGUGUAGCCCAAACUCACUACUACAAUUAUACAUGAAUUAGACUAGUGAGCAAUAAAAAAAAAUCUUGUAAAAUAGAAAAACAUAAGCCAAACACAAAAAGUGAGAUAGAUUACCUAAGGCUAACUGGAACACAUGGUAUCCAGUUACUUUAAGCACAGUUUUUAAAAAUAUAGCUAUUAGUUGCUUCUGGAUGGUUCAUUUUCACGACAAGGCUGAAGCUCACUUCCUGGCUAAGAUUAAUGGGCACCAACAGAAAUAUAGGACAGAGUAAAGCUGGGACACUGCCACAUGUUAUCUACUGAGCCAUCUCACCAGAAAUAUGUGACACAUACUUCCUUGAGACCCAAAAGUGCUGGGUCUAAUACCAAAGACCCAGCACGGCUGUUAUGAAUGGUCUUAAGCAACUGCCCUAGAAUCUGUCUCAGCUAACUGGAGUACAGAGAUUCUCUAAGGUGUUGACUUUCCAAAAGGGAAAGUGAUAACAAAUAGUUCCUAAGUUUAUUUCAAUUACAGACUAUUGUGCACACAUAUCCACAUACAGAGCGAGAUAGUGUGAGUGAGAGACAGAGACUGGGAGACAAAGACAAACAGUGCAAGAGAGCUAUUAUCUAACUUCUCCCACCUCUGACACCUCAUCUGCUGUACCUUCAGUAUCUGUCCUUUCUAUGUUACCGCUGUCAUAGAAUCUGGAACAAAUGUUCAGCUCACUGGAAAGACUGAAAAUAUUUUUCUUGUUCUUUGGAUUUCUGGAACAAGGCCUCAGGAAUUAGUUUAGUUUUGAGCUUUCUAAGCAGUUCCAGUUCUUAUACAGCAAUGGUGGCCUCUGCUGUUUCAUGAUGCAGUCUUCCAGUGCUUCCGGGAAUGUGUUCAACAUAGCUUCUGAUCCCUUAAGGCUAAUCCAGGGACCUUUCAGGUAAUAAGUUCUCAAUACACAUCUGUUGAAUGAAUGUAGGUCUGCAAACAGUAUUCAAGGAAGCUAAAGAUGAAAGAGAAGACAGAUCCCUGUUGGCUGCCUACCUUCCUUACUGUUGGCUAUGUACGCUUUAAGAGCUAGAAGUAAUUCUGUCAAGAAGCCACUAACACAUCCUGAGGAUGCCACACUUUUUGUCAAGGUCUAAUGAAUCUUAAGUUCUUUCCACAAGCCAAACAGAAAGCAGAUCCUCUUUAAACAUCGGGAUCCAAAAUUAUCAGAGCUGAUAUUCCAUUCUUUAUUUUUCGUUCAUCUUCUCUGUAACUUGACAGCUGAGUGCUUAUAGCUUAUAUGAGGCAGACGAUGUUCUAAGUUUUGAGAAUAUGCCAGUGAAUGCAACAGGAAGAAAUCCUUGUCUUCACAUAUUUUGGAAUGUAAUUAGAAAAAUUAAUGUGUGUGUGUGUGUGUGUGUGAGAGAGAGAGAGAGAGAGAGGGAGAGAGAGAGAGAGAGAGAGAGAGAGAGAGAGAGAGAGAGAGAGAGAGAGAGAGAGAGAGAGAGAAAGUACAGUGGAAAUGAGGUGGAAAAUACAUAAAGAACUGGGGUGAGGUAGCAAUUCUGUAUGGGCAUGCUUUGCCUAGCAACCUCAAGAUACAUUGCUUGAAAUGACAGAAGGAGAUGAAGGCUUACUUAGGUGAAUAAGCUAGGAGAUCAGCAAGAACAGAAGCUUGGAGGAAGGAUCACAUGCAGUGUCCAAAGACCAGCCACUUGACUUGGGAUGAGAGAGAGCCAAACAAACAAUUCAGAGGAGAGUCCUUGUGGGCUUUUGUAUGCUGUAGUAAGGACACUGCCUUUCAUUUCUGUAGAGAUGGUAUGUCCCCAAGGGCUUUAACAAGUCAUCAGGCAAGACACUGGAACUGGAUCACUCUGUUACCACAUUGACUAGGCCAAGAUGGGUAACAGGCAGGAGCAAAGCAACCAUUUAGAUACCAAAAGCAAUGAUACAAACAAGGAUGCUGUUUAUCUGGACAUGGGUUAGUAACAAGAAGUUGUCAUUUAUGAAUAAUGUCACAAUGACUUAAAAACAGACAAACUAACCACCAUUCCCUCCCCAAAUGUAUAUUGCAAUAUUAACCUUCAGAUUUUCUUGCAGGCCAUGAGAAUUUCUUAUGGACCGUUUACAACUGAAAAAUGUGAUUCUUGCUGAAUAUACCCUCCAGCUUCUUUUUUCUUAGAUACUGGCAGACAAGACUGUGGAUGAUUAAAGAGAAUCCUGUCCCAGAAGAGAAUGGCAAUGGAUAUGUUUGAGCAAUCAAUCCCAAUACUGAGAUCUCAUUAUUGUGUAGUACUUAGUAAUUUUUAAAAAAAUUCUGGAUGGAUAAGGACUGUAAAUCUAUCAUCUCACACACAAGAGUAGCACCAAUUGUCACAGUAAGUUACAAGCAUUUAUUAAUGGCCAUAUGUGACACCAUACAUGUUUACAACUGGUCCAGUAUAGACAUUCAUCUUUAUAGAUGUCAGUUGUAAAAACAGCAGGUGCACCCAUGUAUCUAUCUGGAUGAUUAUAAAUUAUCCUUAUGCAUAGGCGUGAAUUAAAUCAUACCUUAGCUGAUGUAGUUUGACAAAGGGCCUGACAAAUUUAAUAAACUCCACCGAGCCAGGGUAGUAAACAGCCAUUGUUGUACCCAAUAUGCACCUAACAUUUUGAGAGGAAAUGUAAAGAAAUAUUGUAAGACGUGGUAUUGCCUUACAAGUGCUUCAAAUCCAGUUUGAAAGGGAGCACUUUGCAUUUAAAAUGAAUCAAGAGAAACCUGACAUGGGAAACACAAAUAAUCUUUUACAAUUUUUUGCCCUCCAAAUAUGGUUACCUGCAUAAACUAUGUAGCUGUGCUGUACCCAAGACUUCAGAUUAAUGCAUUUAAAGGAGAAGUUAGGCAGAUCUUUAGGACAUAUGAAAAUAUCAUUAAUCUCAUAAUAUGUUGUAGCACCUUGGAAGAGAAAUGCCAGGUCCCAAGCAGGCGUUAAACUCUAAUGUAGGAGACUAGUCCUCCUCUAAAUUCAUGUCUCUUUUUUGGCUUAGGUUCUUCCUGGCACAAUUAGAUCCAGUGUGGUGGCUAUUUUUAUAUCAACGUGACACAAGAUAGAGUCCUUUUAGAAGAGAGAACCUCAGUUGAGAAAUUGCCCUUACCAGACUGGCCUGUGGGCAAGCCUGUGGCACCUUGAUUCAUGAUUGUUAGGAGAGGCCCCAGCUCAGCCUGCUUGGUGACUCCCCUGAGCAGGUGGUCCUGGAUGCCAUUAGAAGGCAGGCUGAGAAGCCUUUGAGGAUUAAUUAAGUCAAAAGCAGCCCUAAGUCUGGAGUCAGGCUGCAGGCUUUAAAAUGAAAUAAACACUUUCCUUCCCAAGUUGCUUCAGGCUAGAGCGUUUUGUCAUAGCAAUAGAAACCUUAACCACGUUAUCUGGUAACCUUGUGCCAAAAGCACGAGAGAAUGGGAAGUUGUCCUAAAAUCUCUCUUUCACAAAUGUUCAGAAAGCUCUUUCUUAUGUGGGUCAAAACAGGAGCACUCAAGACCUUGAUAUACAGCUCCCACUUAGCACUCCAAACAGUUAUCUGAAUCAUAGUUACGACUGCUGUUUAGGAUCAACAGAGUUAGCCUAUGUAAUAAAGAGGCUUCAGAAUUCUGGCUACUUGACCUCUCUGUUCUCUAAUUGUUAAAAAGAAUCUAAAGACAGAAAGGAGUGGCACAAACUUUACCCCAGCAGGAACCCAGCAUUUCCAGACGCUAACUACAGAUUCUGUCCCUCAAGUGAGAUGCCCGUUAUAGCUCAGCCAAAAGCCAUUUUUAGUAUCCUCCUCUUCAAAGCUGCCUCACUGAGCUGGUUAAGUGCUGGGAUAUGAGGAACUGACCAUGCUAAGAUGGACUUCUGUGUUAAAUCUUUCAGAGCUGGCAAAUUUAGAAUAACCUGAAGAGCCAUGUUAUAUCUGUACUCCUUAUCAAAGAAGCGUCAGGGUAAAGAGUUAACGCCGGAGUUGGGUUUUGCUGGAGGGCUGAAUUAUUUAAUUGUUAGCUAUUCCGAGUUCCACAGUGAAGUAGAAGUAACAGAAUUAUCUGCCUCUCAGUGUAAGACCAUCUUCCCAGAAGGUCAGAGGGCAUUGGCAGCCUUGUGUUUAUUUGCUGGAUGUUCUGGGAUUUACAGUGCAGUGUGCACUGCUUUUGAGAAGUCAGCCAUGCAAGUACAUUCUACACAGUUGUGAAUAGUAGGUUGGGUAUAUGCUUACCCAUAAAGUGUCAAACUUGAGACCUACUCCUUUAGUUCUAGCCUGGAAACUAUAGCUAUGGGAAUACAGGGCCGUAUUCUGAGCUGAGCUUUGGCCUAGACCUACUUGGGCAAGUUAUAACUUCUUAGUGCCACACUUUGCCCAUCUGUAUGGGAGAAUAGUAACAACCCUCCAUCACAGGGUUGCCGAGAGACAGAGUCAGCUUGGACCAGAGUAAGGGCAGAGACAAGGGUAACCACUCUUGUUCUCACUCACGGGGAGAUGGAAAGAAACGACUCAAAAUUUCCACCGGCAGGCAUUUUAUAUCUUUAAAAAUAACUGUCAGAGUCGACAGUUUGAAAUUGAUGGUGAUCUUAAAUAAAAUUAAUGAAGCCUGCCGUGAAGUAACACCAGCCAUCAGUGUGUUUUUGAAACAGCGAAUUCAAAACGAUGAAAACCCUUUUACUCCAACAAAGAACUUGGCCUCCUCUGGAAGCUUGCUAUGUGUCAGGCAUAUGUAAUGGCGUUGAGCCUCGCUUCACCCUGGCACUGCCAUCUGCAUACUGUAAGAGAGGCAGAAGCUCUAAGGAGCAGUAGCUUUAGUAAGUAACAUGGUAAAGAUACAAGUCAGACAUCUCUGAACUCCCUCUCUGACUAAUCCCCAACAGUAUCCCUUCUAUCUUACUUCAAGCCUUGGCUUCCUUUUUGGCUUUUCUGAUACUGCCCUUGAUAUCCUAAUAGAGCCUCCUGGACCCAAAGGGAUUUGGCAGGAACUGUGGCAACAUGUGGUCUCCUGAUAUGGAUUUUUUCUCCGAUAGUAGCUAAGCAUGGGACCUCUUGUUCAUCUGUCAAUGUCCUGUGACUCACUUUGUGGUCCUACAACAAUGAGAACAUGUUGGAAAGGCUGGAGAAACUGUUAGAAGAUUUACAGUAAAAUUGUGAACACACAUGCAUAUGUUCCCUCAACCCAUGUCUCCGUGUUCUCUGCUCCAAUGGUCAAUAUUUAUAUUCACAAGUUUUAUAGCACAGUGCUGUCAUUAUUGCAGAAUUAUUGGAACAAGGCAAUGCGUGCCUUUGGAUUGGAGGGAAGCCUGAAGUUUCUAGGGUUGUAGUCCAUCAUCCAGGGAAGUCUGAGAAGGAACUCAAACCAGGAUCCCAGAGGUAGGAACUGAAAGAAAAGUCAUGGAGGAGUGCUGCUUACUGGCUUUUCCUCAUGGCUUGCUUACCCUGCUUUUCUUACCACCAGCCCAGGGGUGGCACAUUCCACAAUGAGGUAGUCCCUCUUAUAUGAAUCAGUGAACAUGAACAUGUACCAUAGGCUUUCCCACAGGCCAAUCUGGUAGGGCCAUUUUCUCAUUCGAUAUUUUCAUUUCUUACAUUACUGUAGCUGUAUGUCAAGUUGCCAUAAUCAAGCCAGCACAUUGGGUUCCUGGUAAUGGUCACUGAGAUAAUGUGGGCCCCUUGAAUGGCACUCCUGAUAGUGCAAAACAAAUGGUGAGUCUUGGGGUGCACAGAUUUAACUAGAAACACAAAUAUUCAGAAGCUAAACCCUACCUGCAACAUGCAGUGGCAUCUCAGAACUCCUCAGGAAGAAGCCUCUAGAAUUUUGCAUUUUGAAACUGAGUUGUACAUUCAGUAGCAGUUUGGCCACCUGGAGAGCAGACUACCAUCUCCAAUCUAACUCAACUUCAUGCCCCACCUCUGAAAACAGGUAUGGCUUCCAACAUACAAUGUAAAGAAAAAGACCAAUAAUUGGCCUCUUCUGCUCACAGGGCAUGAUAAUUUCAUCCUAGGUAGCCUCAUAUUAUCCUGCACUGUGUGUCCUUUUAAUCCUACCUUAGUUUUUUGUUUGUGUGUUUAUAUAUAUAUAUAUAAAACUUAACUUUUUAGAGCAGCUUUAUGUUUAGAGCAAAACUAAGCAGAGAGUUCAAGUGUGUCCCAGUCUAUGUGCAUGGCUUUCCACCACCAUCAGCGUUCUCCACCAGAAUGGCAUGUCUGUGAAAGUUAAUGAGCCUAUGCCACACACAGCACCUCACUGAAGUCCACGGUGUACACUAAGGCUUUGGUUUAAUGCAGCACAGUCUAUGAGUUCAGUAGACUUCCACCAUGUAUAUUUCACUGUGGUAUCUCAGGGUAGCCAGACUGCUCUGCUCCAAACCCCCUUCCCCCAUCUCUGGUAACAAUUCAUCUCCAUAGUUUUGCUUUUCUGGGCAGGUGACACUUCUUAUUUGCAGCUCUGCUUGGCAUAUUUCUACUGGCUCUGACACCUCUACCAUCCAAUGUAAAUCAAGCUUCACGUUCACAGCUACACACAUGAGCCCAUAGGACCUCCAUGCCUGGAUUCCUUUUCCAUGACCCUGAACUCCGAGGCUCUCUGGGACUGCAGAGGAAGAUUCCACAACCUUAUUACGUGUGUGUAUCCUCCAUGAGUCUAAAGCUAGCCGUGGACAGCACUGAUGAUUCAGCUGACAGCCUGGGUGAGCCCUGGCCCUCUUGAUCACAUUUCCGGAAGUUCUUAUCUGUUGUUUGUGUUCCUUUGUAGGUGUAGAAAAUGACUUUGGCCUCUUCUCAUUUCACAAAUCAGAAGCUCAGCUGGGUGAGGGUCUUGCCGUGAAGCACUCCUUCCAUUGCUUCAAUGGGAACCAGGCCUCUUGUUAGUCUAUUCAUUACAAGCCUUGGCUCCAAAAAUAAAUUUAUUUGAGUCAUUAUUCCCUUCACACUGUACUUUCAUAGUUCUUUCUGCCAAAAUCCUUCUUUUUAUCUUAGACCUUCAUAAGAGCGAAUAUUAAUAACUUAACUAUACAGUAGAGUUAAUACUAGGCUCUCUUGGAAUCUCCUCCAACAAAAUUUAGUCCACUAGUUUUUAAUUUAGCAUCAAGGUCAGGCAAAUCCUUAGGACAAAGACAGAAAGCAGACACAUCCUUUGAUAAUAUACGGUUAGAAUAAUCUCUUGAACUGAACUUCCAUAAUCCGCAUAGAUUGUUGUCCAAGUUCUUCCUAGUAAUCUGUUGAGCUCUGCUUAAAACAUCCAACUUCUUUUCUACUAUGAGACCUCCCAGUCUUCCAUAUUCCUCUAAAAAACAACAUGCUCAAGUUCUUCACAGAGACAGCCCACUUCCUGGAACCGACAUUUGUAUUAGUUACUGUUCUAUUGAUGUGAUAGACACCAUGACCAAAGAAGCUUAUAGAAGAAAUCAUUUAUUCUGGGCUAACCCCCUAGAGGGUUGGAGUCCAUGCAAGCACAGUGGAGGUAGGAGAAAGAGAGAGCUAACUCAAGGUGUCAUGAUCUUUUGAAACCAUGAAACCUAUCCCCAGGGACAUACUUCUUCCAGCAGGGACACACCUCCUAGUCCUCCCCAAGCAGACACCAACUGGGGAUCAAGUAUUGUAGAAGACAUCUCUCCAACCAUCACAGUGCUUACUCUUCCUUACAUAAUGUCUGUUGGUUUGUUUGCUUCUCCCAUUGCAUGAAGGCAGUGCCAACCCUCAGGGCUCAACUAUGCCUGGCUGAGAACUUAGUUAAUGAAUAAAUCAUAAAAAUGGCUUGCAUCCUUCUGCUACCAUUAGAAACUGAUGACUAGAGAUCCAAAAGGGGCAAGGAAAAUCUUAGUUGUUGUUUUUCUUAUUUGCACAUGCCAAGCUCCACACAGAACUCCUCAUGGCUAUUUAAUCUGGCCAGCAUAACUGCCUGGAGGUAGGUAUCGCUUUAACAGGUAACAUAGGGAGUGUAUAAGAAAUAGAGCCAAUACAUGCAGGUAAGAAAGUGAGGCUCUGAGACCUUAUCCUUGGUCACACAGCUAAUGCUCAAAUUCAGGCCCUUCAGAUGCCCAAGCUGAAGUUCUUUAACUGGUUUAGAAUUAGAGGAAAUGUAAUGGUCAUUCACUCUACUCGUUGGAUUUGUAAUACAGCUGGUAAAUUUACUGCCAUGAUGCUCACUGUUAUUUGUUUAACAUCAUGCAGCACCUACCUAUGGCUGGCUACAUGCUUUAGGGUGUUAACCUGGCUGUUCUCAGAAAAUUGCCAACUUUCUGCUCUCCUCAAGAGUUCCCUGAUUGGCAUCCAGGCUUUGAAGAAAUUGUGAAGGGAUGAAACAGCAGCCAGAAAAAAAAGAAAAAAAAAAAAAAGAAAAAAAAAAGAAAAAAGGGCUGGCUGCAGCAGAGGGUGAAUAAGCCAGGCUCUAGCUCCCACACAGUAUAAAAUAUUCUCUUUCAACAGUGCACAGAAAUUUCAGGGUUUUUCAUUGUUGUUGCUCUUGCUCUUACCAUGACUCAGUAACAGGGUAGGUACCCAGGAUGUCAGCCCUUCCUACUGUAGUGGGUAGAUUUCCAUAAUAGAAUGCAGUCGGUAACACAUCUGUAAUCCUGCGAGAAUGAUAACGGCAUUGCCGGGGAAAGCUGAUGUUUGAUUACAAAUCGCAGGAGUACUACAGCAUUUCUACCAGUUGUGGAUGGUCGAUCCAGCACAACUUGAGGCUGCUGCCUUCCUCCAUUAGGGAACAAAGUGUCUGCACUGGAAUAUCUCUGUCCCAAGCUCAACCCUUAUUACCCACUUCACCGUUUACAAACAUGUAUUUAUGCCAAGGAAGGAAUGUAGCUCCUCUAGGCAUCUCGACCCUCCCAGCAAGGGCUGCAUCCAAAAGCUGAUUGCCCCUGAGCAUCUGAGGAUGAAUUCAGGGAUCUAUCAGAGCAUUUGUUUUCUGCUUUGUCAUAUAUAUAACUGGCAAGUCCAGCCAGCAAGAUGUUCCAGGAGGAAGUCUUCCUGUGCCUGGAAUGCAGAAAGACCAGUUUCUCGGAUUUCUCUUCUCACCCUCCCCCAAGUCCCCACUCUCCAUAGCUGCCCUUCCUUUCCCAUUUGUUCCAAAGUUAUAUGCAGACUAUAAUUAUGUGUAUUUCCUUUCAUGCUGUUUAGAAUCAUACAGCGUUUUUCUGCAUCGAGAAUAGGUGCAAUUCAUUCCCGUUUCCUCUUCUCCAUUGUAACCCAAGCUGCUGCCUUGUUCUUACCCAUUGAUUCCUACCCGACCCACAACAAUCGAAUGGAAAUACAAUAGCUCCAACCUGACAUCCAUUUAAAUCACCUGCUAAGGUGCUGAUAGGCAGUGAUGACUUCUUAGCACAGCAGUUAGUGGGGGAAUUGUAUCGGUACUGCAAUGUGCUUUUUCGGGAAUGGGCUAUGCUUCGCUGCAUCAACAAUUCAACGACACUGUAAGAAGUUGGUAGAGAUGAGCACACUGAAUGUCACCCAACAUCUUUCUCUGUGUUCAAAUCUUCAUAAUGCCAGCUCAUUCUUUUGUCCUUCCUAUGAACUCGUAUUUUUUCUUAAUCCUUUAAAAGAUUAAAGUUUUAAUAUAUGUGCAUGAGGCAGAAUUCAUAGAACUGAGGUGGCUUUUCCAAGGUCUCAUUGCUGGCCAAUGAUGGUGGAUAUAGCAAUUGUAUGGCCCCAUAGUGAUGUGUUGUGAAGAGCCAGUAGGUAUCUGGCAGGCUCAUCUGAGAGCUGAUGAUGGAAGGGACUUUCUUCCUUUGACUAGCUGAAAAUGUAGAGAAACGAGAAUAUUAUAGUCAGUGGGCUGGGCUUUUAUUUCGUAUUUUUUGUCCUUUUUUAACUAAUGGGCUUGUUCUUGUUUGCUUUAAUUUAAAGAUGGUCUAUAGAGCAGUGGGUUUCGUUGAGACAUUUCCUGUGCACACCUUGGUACUCUCUUCUUCUGCUCUCCUAUCUCUACCCUACCAUUACUCAUCAUCAUCCUCCCCUAACCACCUCUUCUGCUUUCAUGCCGCAUGCAUUCAUUGUGUGAAGCUUUGUACAAGGAGUGGCACUAUUAAGAGGUGUGGCCUUUUUGGAGUAGGUGUGGCCUUGUUGAAGGAAGUGUGUCAUGGGGGUGGAGGGUGGGCUUUGAGACCCUUAUCCUAGCUACCUGGACGUCAGUCUUCUUCUAGUUGCCUUUGGAACAAGAGGUGAAACUCUCAGCUCUUCCAGCCCCAUAUCUACCUGGACCAUGCCAUGCUCCCACCAUGACGAAAAUGGACUGAACCUCUGAACCUGUAAAACAGCCCCAGUUAAAUGUUGUCCUUUAGAAGAGUUACCUUGGUUAUGAUGUCUGUUCACAGUGGUAAAACCCUAAGAAACAUUCCAUUACUGUCUCCUAUCUUUUCUUUCUUAUUGCCUUAAGUUCUUUUCUUCUCUAGGGUUGGAGAGAUAGCUCAGUGGUUAUGAGACCUGUAUGCUUUUGCACAGGACCCAAGUUUGGGUUCCCAGAACCCAGAAGGAGGCUUACCACAAUCAUUAACUCUACUUCCAGGGGAUCCAGUGUCCUCUUCUGGCUUACAAAGGUAUUAAGCAAGCAUGCAAUGCAGACACACACGUGCUAGCAGACACUAAUACACGUAAAAUAAAUCUCUUUCUAGAAAUCUCUUCUUCCUUUUCAUGGUCCCCUUUCUAGAUUCAUGACCCACAUCCUCACUUUACCCCACACACAUAUAAAUUAAAAUCUAGACUCCACAUAUGAGAGAAAAUAGUAUUCAUCUUUCUGUGUCUUGUUUACUCAGCAAUUUCCAUUUUCAUCCAUUUUCCACAUAUGUCCUGGUUUUAUUUUCUUUCAAACUGUAUAAAGUUCCAUUGUAUAUCUGUAUCACACUUACCUUGGUCAUUCAUCUAUUGCUGGUUAUCUGGACUGCUCUCAUUUUGAGUUACACUGCUGGGUCAUGUAGUAGUUUCAGCAGUCCACCAGUAGGGGGAGGCUGCUGGCUUAAGUGUGGCUUCAUGCCACACCCUGCCUCUAACUUUAGAGUCCCUGGUCAGGUCUCCACAGCCAUUGUCUCUCUUCAUCCCACUGUUUGUCAUAGUCAUUGUUUUGUUGCUGUGAAGAGACAACAUGAUGGAAGAAAUGCUUAUAAAAAGAAAGCCUUUCAUUGGGGGCUUGCUUACAGUUUCAGAAGCUUUGUCCCUAUCAUCAUGGCAGGGAGCAUGGUGACAGGCCUGGCAGGCAGAGAACUGAAGAAGUGGUUGAGAGCUGCAUCUUGAUCCACAGGCAGGGGAGAGGAGAGUAGGCCUGGUGUGGGUUUUUUAAAACCUCAAAGUCCAUUCCCAGAAACACGCUUCUUCCUACAAAGCCACACCUCUGAAUUUUUCUAAUCCUUUCCAAGAGUUUCACUCCAUUAUGACUAAGCGUCAAAAUAUAUGAAUCUAUAGGAGCCACUCUUAUUCAAACCAUCAAACUCUUCUUGCAGCACCUGUGUCCAGCAGGGGACAACACCUCCCUGGCAGCUUCUAUUUAUGCCAUCUUGUGUGAGCAGUGGGGUUGUAGCUAAGCAGAAGUUGGUGUACCACUCUCUUAUCUUCCUGAGAAAAAUCCCACCAAAAUUUAUUUCUUUUUCUUUUAGCUUCUUUUCUUAAAAAUCUUUACUCUUUUACCGAUUACACAUAUGUAGCUUCUAUUCAGUCUUAUCUAGAUGCCUCUCACCCUUUGGCAUUUUAUACUAGUGGUUGAUUGUUUAGUAUAGGAAGCAUCACAGCUAUCCUGUCUGAUAUCUGAAAUUUUACAAUCUCUGUUUCUUUUGUUAACCUACUUUCUAUGCUUUUUCAACUUUCAAUAUUGUUACAGUAGAAAUAAUCUCAUGGAUCAACACUGAGUAGAAAUCAGUAUUGACUCUCUAGGGGGAGUGCUCACCCUAAGAGCCUUUGAAAUGUAAAUUCACGUGUCUCAAACAGGUCUAAAUGUAGGUGUCUUAGGGUUUUACUGGUGUGAACAGAUACCAUGACCAAGGCAACUCUUAUAAGGGACAUUUAACUGGGGCUGGCUUAUAGGUUCAGAGGUUCAGUCCAUUAUCAUCAAGGUGGAAACAUGCCCAAGUUCAAGUUCAGGCAGACAUGAUACAGGAGGACCUGAGAGUUCUGCAUCUUUAUCCUACGGUCCUUAGAAGACUGACUUCUAGGCUGGUAGGAUGAGGGUCUUAAAAUCAUAAAACUCUUGUAAAUAUUUAUCCGAGACCUUUAGGCCUCUUCCAGACAACAUGUGCUUAAAGACUGACAGAAACAACCUCUUCCCUUUCGAUUCUGAUUGCCCCAUGAUAAAACUUACUUGUCCUUAACUGAUCUACUUAUCAGCCUGUCUGCAACACAGUCACAACGAGAUCCUAUCCUUGCCUGAGAAAAUAAAGAUGAGAAAGAUAAAUGAAAGAAAAAGAAAUAAAGACUUACCUGCCCCGGUGUCCCUGUUCGGGCGCCAAAUGCCGCAGACCCUCUGGGUCCCUUUGUCUGCACGGAACAGGUCUCUGGUCACAGGUGGGCAAAGAGUCGGCAAAUGACAGACAGAACAACACGCAAGAUUGUGUAGAAUCUGAAUGUAAUUUGUCAAAUUGAGCAUCAAACUUUUUAUACAGAAGAAAAUAGGGAAGUUAGGUGACACAUCAGCAAGGUACAAAUGAGGUUACCAGAUGCUUAAUGACUCUUACACAAAACAGGAAUGCAAACACAAAGACUGGCAGGAACUGGGCAAUAAAAUAACUGAGACAAAGUCAGCCCUAUCUAAGGUCAGCUAUAGUCUUAGAAGCCAGAUGUGAGGUCUUUACACUCCUAGGGCAAGGGCUUUCACACCCAAGACAUGGUUCUAAUUAGGGAGUUCCGUUCUAGCUAACCAUCUCAUGAAUAAUGUAAUACUCUAAAACCACAGUCCGAUCUACUUCCUAAACCGUUGUAAAUUCCUGUAUAUGGGAGCGACUUGGCUUUUAUUCUAAGUGAUAGUGUAAUACCAGAGGCAAUUCUGAAUGUCACUGAAUAGGCAACAUUGAAUUCUAAGCCCAUGGUCAGCUCAAGGACUUUCUGAGACGUUGGAACACUGGCAAAGGCUUAGCUAUGUCAGAAUUCAUUCUUAAAAGGCAUUUAUAAGAUAAUACUAAAAGAGAGCAGGUGGAUCCAUACACCAGACUAACACGGGAAUAGGGUAUGAGUAUAUGGCUUAAUGAGAACGCCAAAACUCCAGCAGGUGAGCUUCCAUGAAACUCUUUGCCUCGUGAGCGCUUCCAGGCCUCUCGGCCUGCCAAGCAAGACUUCACUGGAGUGUGCGUGGCACCCAAGUCUACAGUCACACACCUACUCCAACAAGACCACACAUCCUAAGAAUGUCACCCCAUUGGCCAUGCAUAUUCAAACCACCACAGAAGGGUUCUGUCAUCUGUCUUAAUGAACUGUCCUGGUGACUCUGAUAUGAAUGCAUGGGAAUGAGGGAAUAGCCAGUAACACUGUUGAAAUUAAGAAAGGGGGAUAGUGCCGAGCUGCAGGGAGAAGCUGCCGGUCAUUCUUUCCCUGCUUGCAAUUUAGGAAGAGGAACUCGUCCAACUGCAAUGCUCCAAUGGUUAAAAACAGGACUGGUUUACAAAUAUGCAGAGAGCACACUCUAAAAUUGUCUCAUGAAUAAGAAAUGGGAAAGACAAUAAGGCUUGUUCAAGGGAAAUGAGAGGUAGAUGUUGUUAUAUAGUGAAUAGAAGAAUACUGAAAUAAGAUUGAGUAACAAGUUUGAUUAAUAUCCUAGGGGGAAAUGAAAUGCUGCCUACAAGUCGUUUGUUUCUCUCCACAAAAAUAACUGGCAAUCCAUCAAUCAAUCAUCUCUACAUUAACAUCUAACUUUACUGAGUCCUGACCCUAAAUCAAUAUCAAGCAAUAAAAUAAUAUUAUAUACCUGAAAUUAAGGAUCUGUAUAAUUAAAUAAAUUUUAAGCAGGUUUAUUAAACAAUGCUGCACUGUAACUAAAACAACAUGCAAUAAUAUUCGUUGCCAUAUUCCUAAAGUUUGGUGUGUGUGUGUAUGUGUGUAAGUGUGUGUGUGUGUGUGUGUGUGUGUGUGUGUGUGUGUGUUUGUGUAUGUUACUGAGGGCUGAACAUAUGGUUGACAUAUGCUAGGCACAUACUCUACUACUGAAUUAUUUUGAGACAGUGUCUUACUAAGUUGCCUGUGUUGGACUUGAACUCAUUUUGUAGGCUCAGGCUGGCCAUGACCUUGUAAUCCUCCUGCCUCACCCCCUGACGAGCUGGAUAUUUAGGCCACUUCCACGAGGCCUUGGCAGAACUUUUUUUUUUCCUUAACAAACCUUCAUUUUCAAAAGGGAACUGUAAUAAGUGUUAAUAUAGAAACUUUGUUAACCCUAACCUAAAUAAAGCAUGCUGGAGGAUGACACAAACCACUAGUUCAUUUUCACAAUCCAAAGGCAUUCAUUCUAUUGACAGUUUGAUGCAGCUCGCUCUAUUCACUUUCUCUACCAUUCCCAGGGAAGCAUUCUGACUUGACAGUAAAGCCUGCUAUUCAGCUUCUGAAAGCAAAAUUAACAGUCUAGUCUCCGCAGCGCAUGCCUUUACCAGGUACUUCCACACUCAGCUCCCCCCUGCAUUCUCAGAGAAAAUGUCAGCAGAUUUGCUAGCUUGCAUAACCUUAACUUAAAAGCCAAGCCACUUCCCCAUCAAUAUUUAAAGGACUUGAGGCAAACCAGAGAAUGAACGCUGUGUCUAGGAGAAGUGAGACCAACGUUGUUGAAAUCACAAUAGUCUCAAUUAGAGGGAGCAGUCUGAGGAUUUUUUUUUUUUAUACCAAGAAGACUUUUCUUCCUGUUUUUCCCUUGUUGUUCCAGAAUCUUCUAUUCUUUGAGAUAGUUAUGCUUCAACCCUGGGAGAUGGUAGGUACAACCCAUAAAAAGAAAUUGGCUCUCUCCUUUUAGUUGCAAAGUAGACUUCCAAAUGUGGAUAAGCAAAGAAGAUUGUCUUGUAGCCCAAGGCAAAUUCUGGUGAAAUCAGAUUCUACUUCCAGAUUUACUUUGCAUACCAAGAGUCAAUAUUUAUAAAGUCCUAAUUCAAUGUUCCUUCCUUCACUCAUGCUACAAGCAUUCACUAGGAAUCUAUAAUGGAUUUAUAAUGGAAUAAACACUGGAUAUACAGAAGCCACCAGAGCAAGGUGUUCUCAUGGAUUCAGGUUCUGACAGAUAGAAAUAACAGUAAGUAUAUAGGCAGAUAAACAAACAAUUACCAGAUGAAGACAAACUCCAUGGGAGGGUGGAGGGCAAAAUAAUAAAAAAGAGAGAGGAGACAGGCAGACUUCAGAAAAUUUAUAGAGAGAGGUGUAGUGAUUCUAUAUAAUCAUGAAAGAAUAAAGGUGUGUGUGUGGCAACUGAUCAGACCUGAAGCAGUGUAGGGAAAGCCAUACAGGCCCCUAGAUUCCCAGAACAGAGACCUGAACAGGCCUGAAGUGGAAGAGGUUUAAGCUGCAGAGAGAACACACAGAGCUGCCCAGGCUGUGUUAGGUAUUUUUACAUUGCUUUAACAGAGACCCAGUGGGAACAACAGGGAAAGAGCGAAAUGGUUUGGAUUCUGCCCUCAGAGAGUCUCAGUCCAUCAUGAUGAGUUUCUGCCAGGGGAGUGUGUCUUGAAGACUUGUCCCAUAGCAGUGGUCCAGGAGGCAAAGAAAGCAGAUCAGAGCCAGUGAUGGACAUAACCACCACAGGCUCACUUAUAGUGACCUUCUCUUACUAGCCAGGCCCACACUCCCAUCCUUGAAACUAAUCCUGUGAAAUGAUGAACGAGGAAUACAAGCAUGAGCCUGUUGGGGGCAUUUCCGAUGAAAUCCACAACAUGGGAUCAUGCCAGAACUUUAUGUGUUACUAACAGUGAAGGAGGAACCAGGGGGGCACUUUGUAGAGUAAGGGGCGAUUUCAUGUAACUUGCUUAUAAAUGGCUCCUGCUGGCUCCUGGCUAUAUAUUGACUCUAGAGAACUAGGAAGCAGAGAGACCAGCGAGAGCAAUGGUACAGGGAAAGGUGCUGGUAGCUCAGGCCACCGUGGUGAGAGCAGAGAGGUGAGGACUAUAGACUUCUGGAGGUUUCAGAGGUGAUGAACACGCAGUGACACCAAAAAGAUAGUCAUGCUUAGUGGACAGGACGUAACAACUGGAGGAGCUGUGCUUUGAGUUGACAUACUGCGUCCACAAGAAAUGGUCCAAGCCCGUCUACCUUUGUUUCAGGCUGAGCUCUGGGCAUCAGAGGAUGGUGCAGCCCACUGAGUUAGUAAAAGGGGAUUCUGAAACAGAGAUUUAGUUUGCCUCUCAGGCAUAAACAUGGGGCUCACGGAAACAUGCUGUAUCCUCCAUGGCUUCAGAAAGAUAAAGGGCUUACACCAGGCUAACAAGUGAGCUGGGGAUGGCGGGCUAGAGAACUACUUCUCCCAAACUUACUACUCUGCGUGUGGAAAGCCAAAUGUCUCCAUCACCCUGAGAGGGAGAAAUGGCUGUCAGAAAGAAAGAAAUCUAACUAGGAGGAUCAGUGGUUAGGAUCAUGAAGGUGCUCUAUGAAGCUAUGCUUACCAGGUUCUAGGCAGGACCAAAGAGGCCGGUAUUACCAGGUAAGUAAGGAUUGGAUUCUAAUAUCUAACACUCUGUAGUUUGAAAUAUACCCUCUUGGUAUACUUGUAGAUAUAUCUUUGAGUAUACGACAGAUAUCAGGAACACAACCCUCUCUUCCCAGGAGAAUUUACAUAUCAGAGUCUUGUAAACAGCUGUAAGAAACACCAGAAAAGCAGUUGCAGACAAAAAUCUCUAUUUAUCAGGGAUGAGUUGAAAGAGGGGGGGGGCAUUUAUAUUUCUAGUAUUGGAGCUCAGUGAAGAAGCUCAAAUGCCCAGGGUUAUCUGUGACCAGGGAGCCCUUCCCUCUGUCUGUUCUUAAUGUUUGCAUCUUCUCUAAAGGAAGACAUGUUUAUAUACAUAUGCUGACAAACACUGAAAUUAGGUUUAAAACUAUUAAUAUCUUCCAACUUUAUUUGUGGUAGGUAGGAGUAGCCAGGACUUAGUUUCCUCUUCUCUACUCCCACACAAACACCCAUCUUCUCUCAAAGUACCUGAGUUUCCAUCUGCAAAAUGAAGGGCUCAGGGUAGGCAGUCUAAUUCUUUGACCGUAACCCGAUAGACUUUGCGCUGCCGUGUAAGCUCUGCCAGCCAUACUGUCCCUGUUUCCAUCACUCACUGAGUGUCUGGUGACACAGUGCCUGCCUUGCUCGGCACCAAAUAAUUCUCAGCCCAUCAGGGCAUGCUAUUUGGAGACUGUGCCACAGACCAAGGCCACUGGAGGACCUUGCUGAGGAUAGAGAGCUUAACUGACCAUGGACUGAACCCCACUGGGAGUCAGAUCAAGAUGGAAACUAUGAUCAGUUUAUUUUGUAAGUCUAAGAACAACAACUUCUCUUUUGUUUAGUCCCUGGAGAAGGUAGGGAGACAAACAAUUUGGACUUUUCAUUCCUCAGCCAUCUCUUCAAGCUACUCUAAAGCAUUAAAACUGGUAGCUGAAUCUGUCCAGAGGCUAAAGAAAGCCCACCCCAGUGGUGGCAAAUGUAGUCUCUGGUCUCUGUUGUUUUAGCGUGCAUGAAUAUGAUCUACCUAGACAUCAGAAGGGCCUACUAAGGACUCCCCAUUCUCAGUUGUCACUCAAGAGGAGGACAGACAUUGAAGCUACUUCAUUCAGUAGUAGCACAGUAUCCGUAAAGGCACCGGGUUCUGCAGUUGCUGCCUUCCUUUUCUCCAGGAGAUGGACCACUCAGACCCACAGCCAUUCUAACGCUAGGAAGGAAAGAAUGUAUGACGACAAAGGAGAGAAGUGACUAACUGGGCAUAAGCUUCCUGAAGAGACAGAAUGGUGAGUUCAUGUUUUGCCAGGCAGGGAGAGAGGAGAAAGAAGUUGAGGUGAGAAUCUCUGAGCAAGGAAAGGGGCAGGGGCGGGGAGAGAAAAGGGGCAGGGAGAGCACACUCUCUGCCAGAAGAGUGCUCUGUCCUGUUGUCCUUUGGCUAGAGCCCUGUGGUCCUCAUCAGACCAAAGCCUUAAGCUGAUGAUAACAUGUUUAGGUGGGCUUAAAAUCUUAGGGCUAAGAGUGAUUUCACAGGUCGGUAACUCAAGAGGAUGUGACAACGCAUGCAUCAUUAUGCGAUAGUAAUGAAGCAAUGGAUGGAGCCUGGGUGUGUUUUCCCUCACCCCCGCAACAGGAAGUGCUUUGUUUUAAAGAACAAUUGUGAUUUUUGAGAGAUUUCAGUAGCACUAGACUUUUGUGAGCUUCCUGUUUUGGAACAAACUCUUCUGUGUUAUUUAUUUUCUAUUUUUUUUUUUUUUUGUAUAGCCAUAAAAAUAUUUUCCUGCUAAAAAGAAAAACCUUGCGAUGUUUGAAAACCUUGAACUAUCUGUAGUUCCCACUGAUACACCUAUAAAGCGUCUUAUCAUUGACGGAAUCAUAUUUGAGGCACUUCCUGAGAACCCUAUAUUUUUCUUAAUAAAUUAUCUCACUAUAAACACCAACAAUGUACAAGGCAGCUUAUGGUUUUGUUCACCGAGUCAGAGCUCUUUCUUUCUUUAUAUUCUGUCUCUAUGCAUUUCCCUGGCUCAUAACACAAUUUUUUUUCCAUAGAAAUCUAGACUCUUUAAUUUAUACGUGAAUUGAAAAACUUGCAUUUUGGAUCAGUAGCAAGGAAGGAACAAUGGCCUUAGAUGUCUCCUCAUCACCAGUUGUUAGUAUAUAUAUUUAUAUAUAUUAUAUGAAUACUAUUAUAAAAAUAUUAACAUAAGAAUGUUAUUCAUAAUGUAAGAAUAGGAUCUAGAUUUCUUGUGAUAUCUAAGUGUAUAUUUGUAUAUAGAGAGUCUAAAUUUCUAGUGAUUAUACAUAUAUAUUAGCAUAUAUAAUCUAAAUAGAAUAAUAUAUCUCUAAUAUUCUAUCUAAUAUUUUAUAUAGGUUAUAUUAUACAUGUAUGGAAUUAUAUAUGUAGAAUUUAUGUAGAGAGAAGUAACUAAUUAAUUAAUAUAUCUAUUAUAUAUAAUAGACAUUAGAUAUUGAUAUAUAGAGAGAUAGUUAUAUAUAAAAUCUACAUUAAUUAAUUACCAGCUGUCUAUCUAUAUUUAUAAUCUAUAGAAUGGUAAUUAUCAGAUCCAGUGAGGGUGUUGAGGAGUGAUGGGAGGAGAACACUUCCUCUCUCCUUGAUGUGACAGAUGCAUGUAAGUGCGGCUGAUGCUUUCUCACUGCUGUUUCCAGGGGAUAUGAUCCAUUGUAGAGGGCUUUACUCCAGUGGCCUUUCUCCACCAGCAAGGCUCAAUGUCCUUCAGGUUCCAUAACCUCUGGGAACAGCGUUAGCAGCCUGGGACCCAGGUAUUCAAACCAGUGAGCACAGCACAUAAAGGGCAUUUCCCAGCUAAGCCCUAGCAUAGAGCCGUGUAACCUUUGAAAGCAAUUAGCAAAUUAUUUCAGCUACCCAACAGUGGGAUUUGAAUGUUCCCACUGCAAAGAAAUAACAUCCUUGACACCCCAGAUGUCUCAUAUACUCAGUAUGUGUUGCAUGUGUAUACUGAAAUGCUCACUAUACACUAUACGUAUGUAUAGUUACUGUGCAUCAAUUUAAAAAAUAUAUUUAAGAUUUUUAUUUUCCUCUUUUGAAUGGUAAUUAAAAAAACCCCACUAAACUCUAGCUUGAUUGAGGAGAGAUUUUCCUCAGAGUACCUGGGCUGUGCAGAAGCUAAAAUGUUUCUUUGUCUCACUCUUCCAGGCCACUCUUCUUCCCCGUUGUCUUAGUUAGGGUUUCAUUGCUGUAAAGAGACACCAUGACCAAGGCAACUCUUAUAGAGGAACGCAGUUACUGGAGCCCGUUUACAACUGCAGAGUUUUAAUCCAUCUCGGUGGGAAUCAUGGUAGCAUCCAGAUACAGUGCUGGAAAAGAAACUGAGAGUUCUACAUCUCAAUCUACAGGCAGCAGAAGGAGAGACUGUGAGCCACACUGAGCAUAACUUGAGCUUAGGAGACCUCAAAGCCUGCCCUCUCACCCCACAGUGACACACUUCCUCCAACAAGGCCAGAGGUGGAGUUUCGUAGUAGACUUCUUGCCUAGUAUCCAUGUAGUGCUGGGUUCAGUUCUCACUAUCGGAAAACACUUAGGAAACGGUGUUUCUUUGGCUCAUAGUUUUGGGCUUCUUUCUACCCAAGUGGAGGAAGCAUGGUUAUGGGACUCUUCCUGCUCAUGUUGGCAGGCCUACAGAGCUGGAAAGAAACACUGGGCCAAGCACUCAAAUACAUGAGUCUCUGGGGGCCAUACUUACUCAAACCACCACACCCAUGCAGUAGAGUACACACACCUGCAGACUUUUUCCCAAAGUAUCCUGGUUACAACAGCUGUGUGACCUUGAUGAAAUGAUUUCUGUGCCCUUGGUGUCACUGUUUCUGUAAAGGGACCACAGGUGCCGGUGAGAGCCUUCUUUCUGCUACUGUCAUUUAGGGAGAUCAGGUGUCACACCUGCAUCCUGGCUGAGCUUUGCAGUAAGACUCCCACAGUGGGAGCACUGUGAGAACACAAGGGCCAUUUGAGAAGUUCUGAGCUGAGAAGCCAAUUAGCGGAGUUGGGGAGUGCUUCCUGCUCAGUGGUACCUUUCCUCUUGUUAGUUAGCUUUUUUUUUUCCAAAAUGUUAUGGUUUGCAAGUCUCUGAGGGUUUUGUAUCUUCUGCAAACCGCACACCCUGCUUAUGCAAACAGUUUGCUACAAUCCAGUAACAAUCUUCUUACUUUGUGACAAUAAAUGCCUAUAACAACUAUAGCCUUUUUAUGUGUUUUGAACAAAAUAGUUGUAUGGCUAAACUUUGAAAAGAAACUACUAAAAUGUGAAGUCCUUAAUCAGGUUCAUAUAGAACCCCAGGGGUCUCUAGAACACACACACACACUCACACACACACACACACACUCACACACACAUACUCACACACACACACACACUCACACACACACACUCACACACACAUACUCACACACACACUCACACACACACAUACUAACUCACACACACACACACUCACACACACACACACACUCCACACACACUCACACUCACAUACAUACACACACACUCACACACACUCACACACACACUCACACACACACACACACUCACACACAUUGCUAGUCUCAGUAUUUGGUUACUAAGGUUACUGAAAUCACAUCUUAAGAAGUAUUUAAAUCAAUUCUGAUGCUAUCAAGGUAAAAUGAUAAUACACUUUCAUUCUUGUAAUCUCUGGGGGUGUGUAUGAAUCUGUAUAAAGAAAAGACAAAACAAAACCCUUUGUGAUUCCAGAAGCUGUUAACACAGUGGAAAGGAACCUGGGUCAGAAGACCUAGGUAUGGGAGUUGUCUCCAUCUCCUGGCUAUGGAACCUUGAGUUUGUCCUCAGAAUCUUAGUAUCUUCAUGAACAAAGUGAAGAUGAAAAUCUUGUAUUCUGGGACAUGAAAUGGAUUUAAAAAGUUGCCAUACGAAAGUUAACACUAAAAAUUCUAAAACACGAGAAAGUUGAUAUUAUUGUAAAAAACUGUAAUUUUUGUCUGUAGCAAUAUCACUGAUAUUGUUAUUAUUGUUGUUAUUAUAUAAUACAAAUUCUUUUUUGCUUUCGUUCAUAUUAUUUUAAAACAGUGCUGUAAAAUCCAUGAAAACAUAGAUGCCCAAUAAGAAUCUGUAAUAAUCACUGAUACAAUGAGAGAAAUACUCUUAUUAGAUAUUUUAUUAUUGUCAUAUAAAAAUGGUCUUUAACAUUUUAGUAUUAAAAUAUUUCUCCUUCUUUACCUUUAAAAGGCAUCUUUAAUUGAUUUUGAACAUAAAGUGACACUAUUGCCAGGGUAUAAAAGUACAGUAUAAAUGUGGCAUUUAGAGGUACCUGUCAACACUGCUGAUCUGAUUAUGUAAUAUUGAAACAUGUCUGUACUCUUUUGGUUCAAGGCCCUCCUCCUCCUCUAUGGAGUCUGACCUCCACAGUCUGGAAAUUGAGUUAACUAUUAGAAUAGGUGGGUACCACAGGUGGUGUCUUUAAUAACAAGGGCAUCCAUUGAUUGGUGGGUGGGUACCAUGGCAGAAAUGAUGGGUAAUCCUUCUAAACCCCAUCCUUGUCUAAGUAGUUUUCAUUGAAGGUGUGUGGUUACAUGAUUAUCAGAAAGUAGUGUUGUGUCCAUCAACGGAAGUGCCAGACAAAAGGGUUUGAGCAGUGCCUUCUCUUCGAAUACCUUGUAAAUGUUAAGCCAAAAGACUUGGUGCAGUCCCAAAGCUGACUUAGAACUGUAGCGUUUAUAUAUAGUGCUCUGAGGAUACCCUGGGAGGUCAGCGACUCUAGAAAGCAUAAGACAUGUUCUCUUGCAUUUAUGACUCUUUCUGAAAUAAUAAGGUGUGAGAUCUAUAGGGACACAGGAGGGAGAUUUGUGUACAUAGGAACCACACUAACAAGAAAUACCAUUGUCAGUGUUUUAUCAGAAAGACUUUUUUUAUUAAAUCUUUCAGGAACAAGACUUGUAUUAUUUAAAAAAAAAAAAAAAGCAGAAAUGGGUUCAAUACAGCCUUUAGGCAGAUACAAGUACACAGCUUUAUCAGAACCUAAAACAUCUCAAUGCUCUCACCUCAACUUGCACAUACAUUAAAAUUACUCAUUAUUUACCUACGAAGCUUCAGUGUAAUACUUAGGUAAGGAUGGAACUCAGAAUAGUGACCAUUAGUUCUGUAGUGGCAUCAGUCAAAUCAUCAGUUGGAUCGACUAGAAUGGAAUCCUCCUUUCUGGCUCUCUGCUUCUUAUAUGGUUCAGAUGAAAUUAUGUAGGAACAGAAGAGAGACAAUCAAGCUCUUUUUGGUGACAGUAACAUCAAUAUUAUGAGUACCAUUCCCAGGAAAAUUAAUAUUAAGAAUAAAGAUAAUGAACACCUGCUAAUCACUUAAUUGGUGAUAUGCUGAGUGGAUAAGGAUUGAUUACGUAUUAGGUACUGAUCCAAGACCCUUAUUUUCAUAUAAACUUCAUAACAACCAUUGAGAUUGAUGAUAUUAUUCCAAAUAUUUAGAUGAAGAAGACGCAAUUCAGACACAUGAAUUUUUCUAAAUUUGUGUGCCAUUCUUAGGUGAUGUUACAUGCUAUUUGGCUGUUUAUUGCCCGAAUAUCUGUCUCAUUAGACAGUGCUCUACCUCUCCAUGCAGUUGCCUCAUUAUCAGGCUCUGUCUCUUUUCAGUAACCCUGUGAUGCCUUUACACACAUGUGCUUGAUAAAAUUGUGUGUACAAAUUAACAAACCUUUCCUCACUUUCCAAUAACACAUCACUUUGUUUUAACAACGUAGCUCAGUACAAUAUUGUUUUCACAUUUUGUUUCUGCCAGGGCUCUCUUUGCUUGCUAGAUCUCCAUUAAGUCAAUGUAAAUACACUUAACUAAGUAUAAUAGUCAUGUCGGUUCAUUAAUGAUGCUGAAUCUUUGACAUGACUUUAUUCCUGUGAUUUGAUGAAUCUCCUUUCUACCACAAGCUUAUAUAAUUGACUAUUGGCUUCAGGCUCCCACCACAGUAUUUUUUGUUAUUGCUGUUUUGUUGCUGCUGCUGCUUCUGGUGAUUAACAGAGGGUUGGGGGCAGCGGACUUGAGGAAACAGAAGCCAGAUGGGCAGCAAACAGGGAUUAUGAAGGUCAACAACAAGUUCAGGGGUCCCCUGUGGUCCUCUACAGGCUCAAUCUCCUUGGGUCAAACUGAUACAGAAACAAGAAUAGCUGCCUGUGUCUGCAAGUCGUAACCAGUCAGGAGCCUAGAGUCCCUUGAGGAUAUUUAAAUGGGAGCCAGAAAAUUGCCACCAGGUGGUGCCAAACCACAGCACAGUUGGAUUUAAUUGUAUAUGCCAAGACUUGAAAGUGCCCCUUCUCACCCCCACAGCUGGAAAAGGGCUAAAACGGGUGAAUCUGUUGCCUAGUGCAGACAAUCUGGAGAUCAGGUCCAGGAAUUUAGGUUUUUUUAUCUUCUGCUUUCCAAGCUUUUUAUGAGGUCUAAAGUCAAGUCAGCGAAGUUAGCCCAAGCAGGCAGGAAACACAGGGCCCGGCACGUAGGAGACAUUCUACAAAUAUUUAUAACUGACCUGAAAAAGAACUAAGUUGACCCACAGUUUGCUCCUUACAUCUUGACUCAGCUUCAGCUGUUAGCACUCUGGCUUUAUUGAAAGCAGAGUGGCUUCUUCUCACUCAUUCUGUCCAACAGAAUAAGCCUAAUUCCUGGGGGGAACUGACCUGUAAAUAGCUGCAGGGCAGUCUUUUACCAAUCCCCUCGCUGCAACAGUGCACAUAACUAAGCACGGUUGUGAAUCAUUGACGCUAAUAUGCCCUAUGCAGAGCUACCUGGAGACCAGAAAGGCAUCAUUUGUAGAGGAACGGAAUUUGGAUGACAGCUUUGCAAGUGUGCAUCAAGGAAGGAAGGGCACCAGUGAGGGGUUGCCCAAGAGAGGCUUCCGAAGAGUUGGCUCAGCUAAGUAGAGGCUGCAAAGAAAGGAAAGACUCUUAGAAGUGAAUAAGGCUCAAGGAACAGACAGCGAGGAGAGCCUGGUACAACCACGAAGGAUACAGGGAAUGAGGAUCAGAUUUUUUUCAACCAAUUUUAGUGAAAUGGACCAGGCUAGAUGAUCUUACAGUUAGAGUAUGAAAUUCCCCCUUUAAGUAAGUACAUGUGUUUGAACACUUAGUCCUUGGUGCUCCCUCUCCCUCAACACUUUGAACUUUGUUGUGGAACUUUGAGGAGUUGGGACUUUGAAUGGGAACUGGAGGGUCUUGUGGGCUGGUUAUGGUUGACCCUUGAUUCCAGCUUGAACUCUGCUUCCUGCCCCCCACCCCCAUGUUACUUACCAGCUUCCUAUGCCUGUCAACAUGGGUGGCGAUGGUCCCAUAGCCAUGCUUCCUCCACUUGGGUAGAAAAGAGCCCCAAAACUAUGAGCCUAAGUGUUUUCCUAUAGUGAGAAUUGAACCCAGUACCAUAUGGACACAAGGCAAGAAGUCUACUAUGAAACUCUACCUCCCGCCUCCCUUGCAUCAUUUCCAGCUUAGUGAUAAGAAAAGAGGUAGCACAGAGACUCCCUAGAUGUAAGAGAUGUGGCUGGCAUGUUGGUACGUAACUGAAGACAGCUGAGUCUCUUAUGUAAAACAGUUUUCGAAGAAUCUGGGACAACAGCUAAGCAAUGUAUAAGGCCAGUGGGUCUCAACCUUCCUAAUGCUGCAACCCUUGCACACCUUGUUGUGGUGAGCUCCAAUCAUAAAAGUAUUUCAUGGCUACUUCAUAACUGUAAGUUUGCUACCGUUAUGGAUGAUAAUGUGAAUAUCUGUGUUUCAUGAUGGUCUUGGGUGGCUCCCAUGAAAGGGUUGUUCAACCUAUCCCCCCAAAAGGGGUAACGAUGCACAGGUUGAUAGCCAUGCAGUAGAUGAAACAGCACCUCAAGCUUUGAGUCCACACUUAGAUUCUGUUGCUGUGAACAGAAAAUCUCUGUUUGAGGCAAGGCCCCGGUGUGUCUCUAGGCUUCCCAGGACCUCUGUUUCCAACAAAAGUCCUAAUGUAUAGUCUGUGUAAACAUUCCUAUGAGUAUAUAUUUACAUAUACAAAAUGGGAACAGAAAUGAGAGUGUUUGUGUAGAAAGCAGGAUGGUUUCAUGUGAGGUCGAAGAGAAGUGAGAAUAAUCAUGUUGCUGUAUUGACUAGUUGUAUGUCAACUUGACACAAGUCAUGUAAUCUGGGCAGAAGGAACCAAAAGGUAGGAUUUGCCUCCCUCUGAGUGGCCUGUUAGCAAGUCCGUGGGGCACUUUAUUUAUGAUCAAUAUGGGAGAGUCCCAAACACUGUGAGCAGUGCCACCCCUUGACUAUAUAAGUAAA